AUGCUUGUAGAUCAUGAAAAGAAUGCUUUAUGUGAUGGUUAUAUUGUUGAAUUCAUUCAUGAUGCUACUGAAAAUUAUUAUGAGGGAGGAACAUAUGCUUGGAGGAAUUGCAAUAAUAUCAAGUUUCCUCUCUAUGUGCUUAAAGUUUUAAAGUUAUGCUUGUUUUGCCUUCCUAUGCUAGUUGAUUAUUGUUCCCAUAAGUUGUUUGCUCACAAAAUCCCUAUGCAUAGGAAGUGGGUUAGACUUAAAUGUGCUAGUAAUAUUCUUCAUGAUGCUCUCUUUAUGUUUCAAUUCUCGUCUUUUAUGUGA
Molecule: ribosomal RNA, 309 nt
Filed under: Triticum aestivum (bread wheat)
Lineage: Eukaryota; Viridiplantae; Streptophyta; Magnoliopsida; Poales; Poaceae
Description: partial small subunit ribosomal RNA
Source: RNAcentral